UACGAAGGGGGCUAGCGUUGUUCGGAAUUACUGGGCGUAAAGGGCCAGUAGGCGGCCAACUAAGUCCGACGUGAAAUCCCCAGGCUUAACCUGGGAACUGCGUCGGAUACUGGAUGGCUUGAAUUCGGGAGAGGGAUGCAGAAUUCCGAGGUGUGAGCGGUGGAAUGCGUAGAGAUCCGGAAGAACACCGGUGGCGAAGGCGGUUAGCUGGGCAGUUGCUGACACUGAGGCGCGACAGCGUGGGGAGCAAACAGG
RNAcentral lists this ribosomal RNA (255 nucleotides) under uncultured bacterium. RNAcentral describes it as "partial 16S ribosomal RNA". It matches the Rfam family "Bacterial small subunit ribosomal RNA", at positions 524 to 776 of the family's 1533-position model. The record is from RNAcentral.